Molecule: long non-coding RNA, 2777 nt
Organism: Erigeron canadensis
Lineage: Eukaryota; Viridiplantae; Streptophyta; Magnoliopsida; Asterales; Asteraceae
Exons: 8
Source: RefSeq, a predicted model, not a curated record
UUUUCAGUAUCUGGCGAAUGGUUAGCGGUAACCACACAACCACCUCCGUUUUUUGAGGUAAAUCGUUAGCCAAAACCUGUUCUUUCAUCCUACAGAUAUGGUAAGGCUUAAUUUUGUUAGCUAUAUCCAUUCAAGCUUGUUCACAUUUCUAGUUGUAAGGGGACUCGCAUCUUUGUAAUGUCCGUUUUCAAUAUCCCUCAAUAUUCCUUUGAUUAUUCUUUCUGUGUCGAAAAGGUAACUUCUGCAGAAGUGGAAUAAAUUUCAUACUUCAUUGAGAUCAUUUUGUACAGGUGUACCCAAUACUCUUAUUCUAUGAUUCGUAUGGACUCUCUACCAUGAUUUAUAAGUCUGAUUCUGAUUUCACAAUUAAUGACCAUCGUCAAAUAUAGUGUAAUCAAACCCAAUCUUGUAAGCCACUAACGUUUAUGCAGAAGUCCCGUAAAUCGUAACAAGGAGACCCCCAUUUUCUUCUAUAUUCAUUAUCACUUUCAUGGGGAUUGGUCCAAACCUUAAAGGUAGGAAAAUAGGUUACAAGGCAACAAAUGAUGAUAAUAUAUAAAAACAAACAAACUCACUUUUGUAUCGAUAGAUUAAAACAUCAAUCCAAGAUUGAAUAAGUAUCAGAGGGAGCACUAGCAGCACCCUUUUAACCCUCUUUGACUCGAAAAGGCCAGAAAACAAGAAAAUGGUGCUAGUGCUCCCUCCGAUUAAAUAAACUCACUUUUGUAUCGACAUAUUUUUUGUUUUCUUUCUGGCCUUUUUGAGUCAAAGAUGGUUAAAAGGGUGAUGCUAGCGCUCCCUCUAAUACUAAUUCAGUCUUAGACUGACAAAUUAAGAUGGUUUAAUCUGUCGAUACAAAAGUGAGUUUGUUUGGUUUUGAUGUUAUCAUCAUGUUGCCUUGUAACUUAAUUUAUCUACUUUCCAGGCUUGGACCAAACCCCAUGAAAGUGAUAAUGAAUAUAAAAUAAGACGGAAGUAUCCUGGUUACGACUUGCGGGACAUCCGCUGAAGCAUUAGUGACUUGCAAGAUUGGGUUUGAUAUAUUUAUAUUUGACCAGGGCCAUUAAUUGUGAAAUCCGAAUCAAACUUAUAAAUCGUGGUAGAGAGUCGACAUGGGUCAUAGGAUAAUAGUAUCCGGUACGCCCCUACAAAAUGAUCUCAACAAAGUAUGGACUUUAUUCUACUACUGCAGAAGUUGCAUUUUCGACAAGCAUAGAUAAUCAAAGGAAAAUUGAGCGAUAUUGAAAUGGACAUUACAAAGACGCAAGUACCCCACACAAAGAAAUGUGAACAUGCUUGAAUGGAUAUAGCUAAUAAGAUUAAGCCCUACUAUAUCGGUAGAAUGAAUGAACAUGUUUUGGCUAACAAUUUUCUUCAAAAAACAGAGGUGGUUGUGUGGUUACAACUAGUCACUCGCCAGAUAUUGAAAAUUAUAGUUGUGUGCUUAAUAUAUAAAUAUACAUAUAAAUAUUUCUACAAUAAAUAAUUGUAUAUGAUUAUAAAAUUCAUAUAUAUAUAAUAUCUUGAUUCUUAAUUAUUUUAAAUGCAACUAAAACCUGACGAAGAAAUCGUAAGAAGCCAUAUAAACCGUGGUCGUGCAGCUCAACCUUUGCCUGCCAUGGGGAUCGUUUGUCUUAGCUCAGCAUUUUCACAUUGUCUAUAUUAUAAUUACAUUUUGGUCAAAAACCAAAACUUUGAAAUCUCGAUGGAAUAUCCGUAAUUUUAGUAUUAUUCAAUAUUAUGUUGUCUUGCACACUUUAUAAAUUUUUUAACUGUUAUGGAAAGUCUGCGAUCAUCGUCUUCUUGAUAAAGAAUAUGCUCAGCGAGUGAAAAAUGACCUUGAGAAUGAUACUCACCUUGAGAAUGAUAUUUUCUCUUCGAAGCUGAUGUUUAUAAAGGAAUUAAUGGUCUUUUGUUUUGAUUUUCGCGCAUCUCCUGGAGACUUUGGAUUUUUUGGAGUGAUCGCUUCACAAGAACAGAGGAGGGAGAUGAAUCGCGGCAACACAAAGACUAAUGUUUGUAUCCAAAACGGAAGGUAAGGCUCCUAAUGGGAAACACAAGAUCAACAAAAGUGUAAGGGCGACUCGGUAAACGCCAAAUUCACAGUGGAAAGGCAGCAUCAAGUUCAGGGAAUGAUAGUGCCACCCAAAGUGCUGAAAGUGGAAAUGAUGGUUCAUCAGAUGCAAGCGAUAUUCUGGAGGCUAGAAAGGAAGCUUCCAUUAGAUGCUUGCAGAUGCAAGUGCACAGACAGAAUAACGAUUCCAAGCCAGAUGUCCCUGGGAAUCCUGUGGUUUAUAUGUCUGCUACCACCAAUCUGAAUAUGGAAAUGGACAUGUGGAACAUAUCUGCUGAAACUGUAUCUAUGAAAAUGUAACCAAAUCAUUCUGGUGUCCCACAAUCAGUGGGCCGAGCCCUUCAGGAUGAACGGGAGCUCAAGGGACAGAAGAGGAAGUAAUCUAAUAGAUAGUCGGCUAGAAGAUCAAGGCUGCACAAGCAGAGCUACAAGCUAGAGUGGAGGCAUUAAAUAAUGAGAAUCACUUACUGAGGGAUGAGCUGCAGAAGCUAUCUAGUGAAUGUGGGAAGCAUACAUCUGAAAAUAAUUUAAUAAAGGUUUAUGCCACUCCUACGCAUCCUACUUGAUUUUGCUAGGUUACGUCUACUGUUACCUCUGGUAUGUCACUUUCUUUUUCCAUAUUCACCAUGCCAAUUGCCACAACGUAAAUUAAAAAUGCUAUCAGAUGCUUAAUAUAAUAAUAUAUCUCGUAUUUAUCUCGCAA